CAGUCGCCACGGUAAUACGGAGGGUGCAAGCGUUAAUCGGAAUUACUGGACGUAAAGCGCACGCAGGCGGUCUGACAAGUCAGAUGUGAAAUCCCCGGGCUUAACCUGGGAACUGCAUUUGAAACUGUCAGGCUGGAGUCUUGUAGAGGGGGGUGGAAUUCCAGGUGUAGCGGUGAAAUGCGUAGAGAUCUGGAGGAAUACCGGUGGCGAAGGCGGCCCCCUGGACAAAGACUGACGCUCAGGUGCGAAAGCGUGGGGAGCAAACAGGAUUAGAUACCCCGGUAGUCCCUGUCUCUUAUAA
Molecule: ribosomal RNA, 301 nt
Filed under: uncultured bacterium
Lineage: Bacteria
Description: partial 16S ribosomal RNA
Rfam family: Bacterial small subunit ribosomal RNA
Source: RNAcentral